AUUGAACGCUGGCGGCAGGCUUAACACAUGCAAGUCGAGCGGGGGAAGGUAGCUUGCUACCGGACCUAGCGGCGGACGGGUGAGUAAUGCUUAGGAAUCUGCCUAUUAGUGGGGGACAACAUCUCGAAAGGGAUGCUAAUACCGCGUACGACCUACGGGAGAAAGCAGGGGAUCUUCGGACCUUGCGCUAAUAGAUGAGCCUAAGUCGGAUUAGCUAGUUGGUGGGGUAAAGGCCUACCAAGGCGACGAUCUGUAGCGGGUCUGAGAGGAUGAUCCGCCACACUGGGACUGAGACACGGCCCAGACUCCUACGGGAGGCAGCAGUGGGGAAUAUUGGACAAUGGGGGGAACCCUGAUCCAGCCAUGCCGCGUGUGUGAAGAAGGCCUUAUGGUUGUAAAGCACUUUAAGCGAGGAGGAGGCUACUUUAGUUAAUACCUAGAGAUAGUGGACGUUACUCGCAGAAUAAACACCGGCUAACUCUGUGCCAGCCGCCGCGGUAA
RNAcentral lists this ribosomal RNA (501 nucleotides) under uncultured bacterium. Its description in RNAcentral is "partial 16S ribosomal RNA". It matches the Rfam family "Bacterial small subunit ribosomal RNA", at positions 30 to 523 of the family's 1533-position model. The record is from RNAcentral.